GGCAGCUCGAGUGAUGGCCGAUCUUAUUGGGCCUAAAGCGUCCGUAGCUGGCCUUGCAAGUCCGUCGGGAAAUCCACCCGCUCAACGGGUGGGCGUCCGGCGGAAACUGUGAGGCUUGGGACCGGGAGGCUUGAAGGGUACGUCCGGGGUAGGAGUGAAAUCCUGUAAUCCUGGACGGACCGCCGAUGGGGAAACCACUUCAAGAGAACGGAUCCGACAGUGAGGGACGAAAGCUAGGGUCUCGAACCGG
This 250-nucleotide ribosomal RNA is filed under the name uncultured archaeon. RNAcentral's name for it is "partial 16S ribosomal RNA". It matches the Rfam family "Archaeal small subunit ribosomal RNA", at positions 478 to 727 of the family's 1478-position model. The record is from RNAcentral.